Columba livia (rock pigeon) is the source of this 5521-nucleotide long non-coding RNA. RefSeq lists it as uncharacterized. The transcript has 2 exons. The record is from RefSeq and is a predicted model, not a curated record. NCBI's taxonomy places the organism in Eukaryota, Metazoa, Chordata, Aves, Columbiformes, Columbidae.
CAUUCCUUCCCCUGGGCUAAUUAAAUCUGGCGUUUGAGACGUUAAAAGCAUCCGGAUGUAAAAACCGCGCUGAAGGCACCGUCGGCUUCUGGUGGUGACUUCAGGGGUGGCCCUUUCUUCCUCCUUCCCAAGCUCCACCGCAGGAGCGGUGGGCGCAGGAAACCAGGCAGGAAUAGGGUGAUGUGGAGAGGGGCUGAGCAGGGGCGAAGCAGAAGAGCUCCUGGGCAGCGCUCGGUCCUCGUCCUGCCCCGAGGGGAAGGCUCAGCUGGGAGGAGCAGAUGCGAUCUGGGUUUUUAUCGGUGUCAUAAGGCCAGUGCCAUCAUUCAUAGUUAUUACCAUGAAGUGCUUUUGUUAGAUACUUUCCCAACGGCUUCCUUUUUGGUGGUGUUGGGGAUGUUACUCCUCUCUCUUGCUAAUAGAGAAACGUGUGGGUAGAUGAUUCUGCUUCCAAAAUUCUUUUUGGCUGCUCAAAAGUGACAAACUCAUGCCUUCCUUUUCCCCCUUCCUUGGGGUCCCCUGCUCUCCUUUGGCCCUUCCUGCUUUACAUAAAUUGCUUAAGUUCUGUGGCUUGUUGAUCUAAGGUAAAUUAGGGUGGUAGUCACUGAUUAGGGAGAGUAGUUGGAGGCUUAACUAGAUGUUAAUGAUUGUAAAAGGCCUUGAACCAUGUAAGGGCUGUGCAGCCAUUCUGCAUUAAAGAGCACAGCCUUACACGUGAAUCCGCUUUAGUGCGGCCCUUGUGGUGUGUCUGUGCUAGAUUCUGUUAGCAAAACCGGCAGAAAGAAGUGAAAAUGUUUUCUGAAUGGUUGCUCCAAGUCAGCAUCAAGGGUUUCCACGUUCUUCUGUUUAGGAAUUACAACGUGACGAGACACCGAUGCAGACUCACCUUUGUCUAAAUGCAUCAUUCUGUUCGCUGUGGCUUAAUAAAAACGAGGAAAUUAGCAGAAGCGGAGAUCUGAAUUUCAGAACGAUCGUAACUAAUGCACGGAAGCAGCUGAAAAGAUGCCGAACGGCUCACUCACAGCUUGUUGGAGGGCCAGGAAUAGCGUGCGGUCACAGGAUAAUUAUCGUCUGCUGCUGCAUAAAUUGUGGGUGUCCUUAUGGAAAAAGGUUGAUGUAAUUGCGUUAAUUUUAUCUGCUGGGCAGUGCUGCUGUUCCUGCUGGUUCUUCUGGGAAGCAGCUGAUGAGCAGGGCCAGACCUCCCCCAAAAAGUCACUUCAUUUUAUUGUAUUGUAUUUUUUUCUUAAAUGAAUGUGAAAGGUUUCUGACCCCUUUGCCCGGCUGGUCUGUGAGUUUGGGGUUGCUGGAGUUUUGCCAGGGAGAAUUUCCUUGUCAUCCUCCCAGCCAUUCUAGGUCCGGUCUGAUGUGCCAGCAUAAGGCUGGAUCUUUCUCCUCGUUCUUCGGCACUGGAGGAUGCGGAAGCCUCUUAAAAAUAUGUAUCUCCAAUCACCCGGAAAAUAGCAUUAUAAAAUGAUCUGCCCAGACUGUUUUUACAGUGGUUUUGCUGCAGACUUCAGAUUGUUGAUGCCUCGGUAGGAAAUGAUCGUUAACCUUAGUAAUGUGCCACUCAAAGGAAAUUGUGCAGAAGUCAAGAAGGUUUCAGACCUUGCCUGACUUGGGGUCCCUCAUUAGUUUGACAGAUGUUGCCUGGAGGUUUUCAGGUGCUGGUGAGUAGCAAGAAUCUUUCUGCUGCUGUUUUGCAUGACAUUAGUUAUAUCUUGAUCAGGCUCCUCCUGAAUAAAUGCCAUUUCUUGGCUGAUUUCACGGGGAGUUCUGUGGGGAGGGGAUUCAUCGGCUGUAGGGGCACAUAAAGAAUGUUCUGCUAUUCCUGUUCUGCUUGCAAAUGGCCACUUGACUUUCCCAGGCUGUAAAUUCAGCCUGGUUUACUAAUGCGUAAUUACUUUAUGAUCUUGUGAUAAUACAAGGACCAGCAGAAGCUGUUUGCGUAGUUGUUUGCUUUCCCAUAUAUUUAGAGAGGGUUUGAAUGCUCUGAAUUAGGUUGUGACUUUAUCCGGUAUGAUAAGAUGAUCAGUACUUACAAUUCCAGCCUUUUUCUUUAAUACAAAAUGUGCAUUUCUAGGGUGAACUAUCUUGUAGGUGCAGUUGUUUCACCAUCUAAUUCUUACAGCUGGCUUAAUUUAGGCCUCUGUGGGAAAAAGAGAGUCUUGGGCUGGUUCUAGAGCCUUCCAUGGGUUCUCAUGAUGGUGAUGAUGUGACCCUGCCAGAAAUGAUCGCGCCAUCAUUACGAAUCAGGUUAAUACCGAGCUCUGCGCCUGGCGUGUGUUACCCAGCUGCGCAGUUAAAUGUCGGGGCUCGCCGGGCUGUUUGUUCUCAGAGCUGCAGGGAGGGAUUGGGUUCAUUUCUUUGAUUUUUGUGGUGCAUUUUGGUUCUCGUGACUUUUGGUCUUUCCACGUUUGCGUUUGCCCUCAGGUACUGGGAAUGUUCUGGGGUGUGUAUGUAGGAUAGCGUGGGGGUUUUGUGUGCCUUCUGUAUUAAAUGUCGGUUAUAUUGCUGUUGUCUGCUCUUGCGGCAGACUUUUGCUUUUAUAUUUCAGUUGCGGAGCCUUUAGACUGUCCGUGCAGACACUUGCAUGUGCAGGCUCGCUACUGCCCUGCUUUGGGGCGUGCUGUGAGUAAAUGUCACGUUUGUUCCUCUCUUGCAGCUGGCGGUAACCCCGCUGCCUGUGCGGUGGGGGGUGCUGAUGUGCAGGGAGCGGCUUUCUGUGCUGCUCUGUGUCCGUUUGGUCUCUUCUGCAGUAGAAUCAACGAAUCCUUUUGGUUGGAAAAGCCCCUCAAGAUUGAGUCCAACCAUUCCCCCACCCCUGUCCCUGCCCCAUGUCCUGAGAACCUCAUGUCCGUCUGUCCAGCCCUCCAGGGAUGGUGACUCCAGCACUGCCCUGGGCAGCCUGUUCCAAUGCCCCACAGCCCUUUGGGGAAGAAAUUGUUCCCACAUCCAACCUCAGCCUCCCCUGGCGCAACUUGAGGCCGUUUCCUCUGCUCCUGGCACUUGUUCCUGGGGAGCAGAGCCCGACCCCCCUGGCUCCAAGCUCCUUUCAGGCAGUUCAGAGAUCAGAAGGUCUCCCCUCAGCUCCUGUUCUCCAGCUGAACCCCCAGGUCCCUCAGCCGCUCCAUCACACUUGUGCUCCAGCCCCUCACCAGCUCCGUUCCCUUCUCUCCACUCGCUCCAGCACCUCAAAGUCUUUCUUUUCCUCAGGGGCCCAGAACUGCCCCCAGGAUUUGCGGUUUGGCCUCCCCAGUACCCAGCACAGGGACGGUCGCUGCCCUGGGCCUGCUGGCCACACCAGUGCUGGUACCAGCCAGGUUGCUCGUGGCCUUUUUGGCCAGGUGAUGCUGCCUGGCUGCAAAGGGUGAUCUCAGUAUGUGUUAUAUGUGAUCUUAUGUUCUUUUCCACUCCAGAAACAGAAAACACAAGCACUGCUGUUGGGAGAUUAUACAUAUAUAGAGAUUUAUUCCCUCGCAGAGUGUAAAACCCAACCUGGAGGCAGGGUUUCUAAAGCAUACAGGGUGGUAGCACCCUGUGUAGCUCCGUGGCCUGCGUAGUGUUUGACUUCUCUUCCAGUCCUGGAAGAAAGGAGGGGAGGGUACAGUAUGUCCAGUGGCAAAUACGACAGCUAAUUUUAAGCUCCAGACAUCUGCCUGCUGUAAACUGUAUUGAGAUCACCCAACUUAUUUUACCCAAGCAGCUGAGUAACAUCUGACAGCUGAGAAUCUAGACUGGAUUUCAACCAAAAAAAAAUGCUGGAUAAAGGCACCGUGUCCUGUUAAAGAAAAAGCCUCUGCAAGACUUGCUUGGUAAAGGCAGGCAGGAAAUGGAGUAGGAGUGAGGGUCGAGAGAGCAAGUCCGCCACCUGCUUUAAUGCUGGAUUUCUGUCGCUGGGUAAGCUCAGGCGGUCUGGUCCCUAACAGCAAUAUUGCUUUGAGCACCCGUCCCUGUGCGUGCAGCAUCCGUGCCCCCACCCCUAGACCCCAGAGCUGCCGUUUGGGCGAUUCCCACGAGUUUUUUGAUGAUUUAGAUAAGGAGGUGUGUAUAUCUGGUUAGGAGCUGGAGUAGGAGGGGUGGAAACCAGGAUCAGCGCUGGAGCGGGGCAGCGUGUGGAAGCUCCGAGGAGGAGGAGGCAGAAGUUUUUAGGCAAACGUGGGAUUGUGUCAGCGGUGCGCGGGAUGGCAGCUCCUCACAGCGCGGCUGUUCUGGGAUGGAGCAGGGGCUGAGUGUUCCGUGGGGAGCAGAGGGAUGGAGCAGGGGCUGAGUGUUCCGUGGGGAGCAGAGGGAUGGAGCAGGGGCUGAGUGUUCCGUGGGGAGCAGAGGGAUGGAGCAGGGGCUGAGUGUUCCAUGGGGAGCAGAGGGAUGGAGCAGGGGCUGAGUGUUCCACGGGGAGCAGAGGGAUGGAGCAGGGGCUGAGUGUUCCACGGGGAGCAGAGGGAUGGAGCAGGGGCUGAGUGUUCCACAGGGAGCAGAGGGAUGGAGCAGGGGCUGAGUGUUCCGUGGGGAGCAGGGGCUGAGCGUUCCACGGGGAGCAGAGGGAUGGAGCAGGGGCUGAGCGUUCCACAGGGAGCAGAGGGAUGGAGCAGGGGCUGAGUGUUCCACAGGGAGCAGAGGGAUGGAGCAGGGGCUGAGUGUUCCCUGGGGAACAGAUGGAGCUUUGUGAUGGUUCCUGCUCCCACUAUGCAGGCAGGGAGCUCCUUGUACCGCAUCCCUGGGCCGCGAGGGGAGCAGCAGAAUGUCCGGCUGCUGCUUGUAUUGGUGGCAGGUCCUCUCAUGUGACAGAGGCCAGAGCACUUGAAGCAUUAGGGGUCCCAACAAAUGUUAUAAAAGAGAAAACCCAAAAUGAGUAGCUCGCAAGGAGAGAGUUCCUCCAGACAGUCCCUCCCCGUGAGCCUGGGCUGCACACGCAGUGGAAGACAAGCCUCUUCCCGACAUCCUUGGUGCAACUCUUCCCCGUCUUCUGCGUCCAGCGUGGAGAGGCCCUGAGAAGACCCCAAGCUCCACUCACAAAGGGUUCCAUUCAGCCCCGAUCGUAUUUUUAGCAAAGCACGAUUCUUCUUCGGUUUCAAAAGUAGCAAGUGGGGAAUGCAGCCUACAUCAGUGCGAGAUGCAGAAUGAGCUCAUUCAGGCUGCAGCAUCUGUUUGGAUUGAAACAAUUACCAGUGAUAUCAGGAGAUCUGGGUAUUUUUCUUGUUAUAACCAGAGGCUGUGGUAAACAAGAGCUGUUUUCUCUGUGUGCUUUCUGUGUCAGUGGAGCACAACCGCGGGGAGAUGCUUCUGCUCUGUGUCUAGGAUCGCAGACCACAAGUCUCGCAUUUCCAGCAAGCGUCUUUGCCUCCGUGCUUUGGAGGCAAUUUGCUUUUUCUUUUACAAUCUUUAAAGCCACGUGAGCGAUAGAAAUACCUGCGCGCUUCCUUUCUUCUAGCGUUAUCCGAGGCGCUGGGACUUGUUGAUAUAUCAAUCUGUGUUAAAGUAAACGCUUAAAAGGAAAAUGGACCAAUAAAAAGGAGAGUAGAACACA